Molecule: ribosomal RNA, 465 nt
Filed under: uncultured Klebsiella sp.
Lineage: Bacteria; Pseudomonadati; Pseudomonadota; Gammaproteobacteria; Enterobacterales; Enterobacteriaceae
Description: bacterial SSU rRNA
Rfam family: Bacterial small subunit ribosomal RNA
Source: RNAcentral
CCUACGGGGUGCAGCAGUGGGGAAUAUUGCACAAUGGGCGCAAGCCUGAUGCAGCCAUGCCGCGUGUGUGAAGAAGGCCUUCGGGUUGUAAAGCACUUUCAGCGGGGAGGAAGGCGGUGAGGUUAAUAACCUCAUCGAUUGACGUUACCCGCAGAAGAAGCACCGGCUAACUCCGUGCCAGCAGCCGCGGUAAUACGGAGGGUGCAAGCGUUAAUCGGAAUUACUGGGCGUAAAGCGCACGCAGGCGGUCUGUCAAGUCGGAUGUGAAAUCCCCGGGCUCAACCUGGGAACUGCAUUCGAAACUGGCAGGCUAGAGUCUUGUAGAGGGGCGUAGAAUUCCAGGUGUAGCGGUGAAAUGCGUAGAGAUCUGGAGGAAUACCGGUGGCGAAGGCGGCCCCCUGGACAAAGACUGACGCUCAGGUGCGAAAGCGUGGGGAGCAAACAGGAUUAGAUACCCUAGUAGUC